CCAGUGGGGGUGCUGGUUGGAAGCUUGAGGAGCAGGUUUUUGAACCUUAUUAAACGAAAUUAGUGACCUUGGGACCUUGUUUGGAAGGUGUUCUAACUACGGCGGGCGGGUAUUUGACCCUUGGACCGUCUUCGACUGGCCUUGGAGGACCUUUUGGAAGCUUAACUUGAGCAGCAGUGGGACCUCGUGGGGCUGAUUUUGGGACCCUUGCAAACUGAUUUGGAGCAUUGCACGAGAGCCUGUUACAGGAGAGGCUAGGGAUCGUGGCAAG
Molecule: long non-coding RNA, 271 nt
Organism: Ananas comosus (pineapple)
Lineage: Eukaryota; Viridiplantae; Streptophyta; Magnoliopsida; Poales; Bromeliaceae
Exons: 5
Source: RefSeq, a predicted model, not a curated record